Molecule: transfer RNA, 85 nt
Filed under: Bacteriovoracaceae bacterium
Lineage: Bacteria; Pseudomonadati; Bdellovibrionota; Bacteriovoracia; Bacteriovoracales; Bacteriovoracaceae
Description: tRNA-Leu
Rfam family: tRNA
About the family: Transfer RNA (tRNA) molecules are approximately 80 nucleotides in length. Their secondary structure includes four short double-helical elements and three loops (D, anti-codon, and T loops).
Source: RNAcentral
GCCCGAAUGGUGAAAUUGGUAGACACGCUAGACUUAGGAUCUAGUGCUUUACGGCGUGGGGGUUCAAGUCCCUCUUCGGGCACCA